AAUAGAUACCCUGGUAGUCCACGCCCUAAACGAUGCUCACUAGGUGUUGGGGAAGCGAUUCCUUGGUACCGUAGCUAACGCGUGAAGUGAGCCGCCUGGGGAGUACGGCCGCAAGGUUAAAACUCAAAGGAAUUGACGGGGACCCGCACAAGCGGUGGAUGAUGUGGAUUAAUUCGAUGCAACGCGAACAACCUUACCUACCCUUGACAUGUCCGGAAGCCUGCUGAAAGGCGGGGGUGCUCGAAAGAGAACCGGAACACAGGUGCUGCAUGGCUGUCGUCAGCUCGUGUCGUGAGAUGUUGGGUUAAGUCCCGCAACGAGCGCAACCCUUGUCCCUAGUUGCUACGCAAGGGCACUCUAGGGAGACUGCCGGUGACAAACCGGAGGAAGGUGGGGAUGACGUCAAGUCCUCAUGGCCCUUAUGGGUAGGGCUUCACACGUCAUACAAUGGACGGUACAGAGGGUUGCCAACCCGCGAGGGGGAGCCAAUCCCAGAAAGCCGUUCGUAGUCCGGAUCGCAGUCUGCAACUCGACUGCGUGAA
This 542-nucleotide ribosomal RNA is filed under the name uncultured bacterium. RNAcentral's name for it is "bacterial SSU rRNA". It matches the Rfam family "Bacterial small subunit ribosomal RNA", at positions 777 to 1324 of the family's 1533-position model. The record is from RNAcentral.